CCUGUCACCUCCUUUUCUGAAGUCUGUCACGUCCAGUCCACUGGAAAACUGCUUCACUAACACAAUUUCUUGGCAUUAGAUACCACCAUGACCGUGCGGCGCUACUCCACGGCUGCACCAGCACCCGCUCCUUCCAGCACGAGGUCUCAUCGGGCUGGCAAGAGGCCUCUGAGCAAUGGGCUCCCGGGCACUGCCCAGCCACCAGCCCCUCCGGCCGCAGCACAGAUCACCAGUGGAGAGGAGAAAGGGCUCGAAAAAAACCCAUCAAACUGUCUCUUCUACAAUCAUUCCAGCAAAACAGAGCUGUUUCGGGAGCAUGUCCAUAAGUGUAGGGGUAAAGUAAAGGCUGUUAGUUUCCUCUUACCAAUGGAUAUGUCAUCAUAUGCUGAAAAGCAAGGCUCCCUCCCAAGCCCACAAAAUCAGAGAACAAAACAGUUAACCACCAUCGCUGAAAAGGAUAUGUGAGCUGGUGAAUUUUUAAAGGCCCACUGAUUCUUGAGAUAAAUUGGCCUUAAAUGAUAGCUGUGUGUCAGGUUCCUUCCCUGCAAAACGCUUUGGCAGGAUGCCUGCACAGAGAAUCACCCAGCCUGUGUUUCGGGUCACUGCCCCGAUGUUUAGCAUGGAAAUGGAAGCCCCAACAAAGGCGGCUGGAAGCCUGUACACCGUGAUGAAGCCACAUGAUAGCAAAGGUACCUCCAUGAAGUAGCUUCUGCACAACAUGUCUCAAGGAUCUCUUACCUUAGGACUGCUGUCAACAGGGUGUUUGUCACAAAAAGCAGAAACUAUGUCACUGCUUGUGUUUGCUGAUUCCCUUGCCAGAAAGGCAUUUGAUGCAGAUGACAAAAUGAGCUAUGAAAGAGCCUGUGAAGUUUUCUCUGUAUAUAAAACUUUAAAACUUCAUGAUACCGAUACAGCAAAAUUAAGAAGGCAUUACAGAGUCAGUUAACAUUACUCUGAAUUUCUGUAAAGCUUGGCAGUGACUGUUUAUGACCAUUUGGGGUUCACCUCUAAGAGAGCUCAGGGGAGACUAAGUACUUAGCAAUAUGAAAAUGUGACUACAAACCUGAUUCUGACUUGGUGUGUUCAGCCAGCCAGAGACUAAAGACUGUACACCAAGCUAAAAUUGUAAAUAUCAGUAUUUUUCAGGAAUGGCUUCUCAGCAUGUAUCAGAUCAAAAAUCAUUAGCAGAAAUUCAGCAAACAGGUGCAAAAUAAAUGAGAGAGAACUACAGACA
RNAcentral lists this long non-coding RNA (1234 nucleotides) under Athene cunicularia (burrowing owl). RNAcentral describes it as "lncRNA (ENSACUG00000012987.1)". Lineage: Eukaryota; Metazoa; Chordata; Aves; Strigiformes; Strigidae. The record is from RNAcentral.